RNAcentral lists this ribosomal RNA (253 nucleotides) under uncultured prokaryote. Its description in RNAcentral is "partial 16S ribosomal RNA". It matches the Rfam family "Bacterial small subunit ribosomal RNA", at positions 522 to 774 of the family's 1533-position model. The record is from RNAcentral.
AAUACGGAGGGCGCAAGCGUUGUUCGGAAUUACUGGGCGUAAAGCGCGUGUAGGCGGCCAGGUAAGUCGGAUGUGAAAGCCCGGGGCCCAACCCCGGAACUGCACCCGAUACUGCCUGGCUGGAGUCCCGGAGAGGAUGGCGGAAUUUCCGGUGUAGAGGUGAAAUUCGUAGAUAUCGGAAGGAACACCAGUGGCGAAGGCGGCCAUCUGGACGGUGACUGACGCUGAGACGCGAAAGCGUGGGGAGCAAACA